This 74-nucleotide transfer RNA is filed under the name Verrucomicrobia bacterium ADurb.Bin118. Its description in RNAcentral is "tRNA-Thr". It matches the Rfam family "tRNA". Rfam says of the family: Transfer RNA (tRNA) molecules are approximately 80 nucleotides in length. The record is from RNAcentral. Lineage: Bacteria; Pseudomonadati; Verrucomicrobiota.
GCCGGCGUAGCUCAGCCGGAAGAGCAGGCGACUUGUAAUCGUCAGGCCGGGGGUUCGAGUCCCCCCGCCGGCUC